CCUACGGGUGGCAGCAGUGAGGAAUAUUGGUCAAUGGACGAGAGUCUGAACCAGCCAAGUAGCGUGAAGGAUGACUGCCCUAUGGGUUGUAAACUUCUUUUAUAUGGGAAUAAAACGUUCCACGUGUGGGAUUUUGUAUGUACCAUAUGAAUAAGGAUCGGCUAACUCCGUGCCAGCAGCCGCGGUAAUACGGAGGAUUCGAGCGUUAUCCGGAUUUAUUGGGUUUAAAGGGAGCGUAGGUGGAUGGUUAAGUUAGUUGUGAAAGUUUGCGGCUCAACCGUAAAAUUGCAGUUGAAACUGGCAGUCUUGAGUACAGUAGAGGUAGGCGGAAUGCGUGGUGUAGCGGUGAAAUGCUUAGAUAUCACGAAGAACUCCGAUUGCGAAGGCAGUUCACUGGACUGCAACUGACACUGAGGCUCGAAAGUGUGGGUAUCAAACAGGAUUAGAUACCCGAGUAGUC
Molecule: ribosomal RNA, 460 nt
Filed under: uncultured bacterium
Lineage: Bacteria
Description: partial 16S ribosomal RNA
Rfam family: Bacterial small subunit ribosomal RNA
Source: RNAcentral